AGAGUUUGAUCCUGGCUCAGAGCGAACGCUGGCGGCAGGCCUAACACAUGCAAGUCGAACGGAUCCUUCGGGAUUAGUGGCGGACGGGUGAGUAACACGUGGGAACGUGCCUUUAGGUUCGGAACAACUCAGGGAAACUUGAGCUAAUACCGGAUGUGCCCUUAGGGGGAAAGAUUUAUCGCCUUUAGAGCGGCCCGCGUCUGAUUAGCUAGUUGGUGAGGUAAAGGCUCACCAAGGCGACGAUCAGUAGCUGGUCUGAGAGGAUGACCAGCCACAUUGGGACUGAGACACGGCCCAAACUCCUACGGGAGGCAGCAGUGGGGAAUCUUGCGCAAUGGGCGAAAGCCUGACGCAGCCAUGCCGCGUGUAUGAUGAAGGUCUUAGGAUUGUAAAAUACUUUCACCGGUGAAGAUAAUGACUGUAGCCGGAGAAGAAGCCCCGGCUAACUUCGUGCCAGCAGCCGCGGUAAUACGAAGGGGGCUAGCGUUGCUCGGAAUUACUGGGCGUAAAGGGAGCGUAGGCGGACAUUUAAGUCAGGGGUGAAAUCCCAGAGCUCAACUCUGGAACUGCCUUUGAUACUGGAUGUCUUGAGUAUGAGAGAGGUAUGUGG
This 610-nucleotide ribosomal RNA is filed under the name uncultured bacterium. RNAcentral describes it as "bacterial SSU rRNA". It matches the Rfam family "Bacterial small subunit ribosomal RNA", at positions 8 to 664 of the family's 1533-position model. The record is from RNAcentral.